This 376-nucleotide long non-coding RNA is filed under the name Polistes fuscatus (common paper wasp). RNAcentral describes it as "uncharacterized LOC122524566". The record is from RNAcentral. Lineage: Eukaryota; Metazoa; Arthropoda; Insecta; Hymenoptera; Vespidae.
CAACCCUAGCAGCAGCAGCAGCAGCAGCAGCAGUCCCGCGAAACUCUCGGGUUCUCGAUUCGCCGGGCUGAUCUCACGAACGAUGAUGCGCUCGAGGGGUGAACGCGAGCUAGGCGGUCUUCUUCUUCUCUCCAAUCCCCCGAAGAGAGAAAGAAAGAGAAAGAGAGAGAGAGAGAGACGAGUACAGAGAGAAGGAGGAAGAGGAAGAGGGAAGAAAAUGAAGACAUCGAAUGAAGAGGAGUAACUCGAAGUUGUACGCUUCGUCGAGAGAAACUCGAUCAAUGGCCUUGUCAUAUAUAGACGUAAAUACGUGUAUACAUGUGUGUGUAUGUGUGUGUAAACAAUCGUCGUUGGAAUAUUUUCGAAUAAAGAGAGA